GGCACUUUGGCGGAGUGGUUAAGUAAGUACCCCAGCUGCUAAGCCAGUUCCUUCGGGAGCGUGAGUUCGAAUCUCACAGGUGUCG
RNAcentral lists this transfer RNA (85 nucleotides) under Clonostachys rosea. It matches the Rfam family "tRNA". From Rfam's summary of the family: Transfer RNA (tRNA) molecules are approximately 80 nucleotides in length. Their secondary structure includes four short double-helical elements and three loops (D, anti-codon, and T loops). Further hydrogen bonds mediate the characteristic L-shaped molecular structure. tRNAs have two regions of fundamental functional importance: the anti-codon, which is responsible for specific mRNA codon recognition, and the 3' end, to which the tRNAs corresponding amino acid is attached (by aminoacyl-tRNA synthetases). tRNAs cope with the degeneracy of the genetic code in two manners: having more than one tRNA (with a specific anti-codon) for a particular amino acid; and 'wobble' base-pairing, i.e. permitting non-standard base-pairing at the 3rd anti-codon position. Lineage: Eukaryota; Fungi; Ascomycota; Sordariomycetes; Hypocreales; Bionectriaceae. The record is from RNAcentral.